GAUGAACGCUAGCGGCAGGCCUAAUACAUGCAAGUCGAACGCUCAGUAGCAAUACUGGGAGUGGCGCACGGGUGCGUAACGCGUACACAAUCUACCUCUAAGCGGGGGACACCUCCUGGAAACGGGGAUUAAUACCGCAUAAUAUGCCGAAGUCGCAUGACUUUGGUAUUAAAGCAGCAAUGCACUUAGAGAUGAGUGUGCGUCCCAUUAGGUAGUUGGUGAGGUAACGGCUCACCAAGCCUAUGAUGGGUAGCCGGUCUGAGAGGAUGGUCGGCCACACGGGCACUGAGACACGGGCCCGACUCCUACGGGAGGCAGCAGUAAGGAAUAUUGGUCAAUGGUGGAAACACUGAACCAGCCAUGCCGCGUGGAGGAAUAAGGUCCUACGGAUUGUAAACUCCUUUUGACGAGGAAGAAAAUGUUAGAUUUAUCUAAUUUUGACGGUACUCGUAGAAUAAAGCACCGGCUAACUCCGUGCCAGCAGCCGCGGU
Molecule: ribosomal RNA, 491 nt
Filed under: uncultured bacterium
Lineage: Bacteria
Description: bacterial SSU rRNA
Rfam family: Bacterial small subunit ribosomal RNA
Source: RNAcentral